RNAcentral lists this ribosomal RNA (464 nucleotides) under uncultured bacterium. RNAcentral's name for it is "bacterial SSU rRNA". It matches the Rfam family "Bacterial small subunit ribosomal RNA", at positions 28 to 490 of the family's 1533-position model. The record is from RNAcentral.
GACGAACGCUGGCGGCAUGCUUAACACAUGCAAGUCGAACGAGAAUCUGUGGAUCGAGGAUUCGUCCAAGAGAAGCAGAGGACAGUGGCGGACGGGUGAGUAACGCGUGAGGAACCUGCCUUUCAGAGGGGGACAACAGUUAGAAAUGACUGCUAAUACCGCAUAAUGCAUUUGAGUCGCAUGGCUCUGAAUGCCAAAGAUUUAUCGCUCUAAGAUGGCCUCGCGUCUGAUUAGCUAGUUGGUAGGGUAACGGCCCACCAAGGCGACGAUCAGUAGCCGGUCUGAGAGGAUGAACGGCCACAUUGGGACUGAGAUACGGCCCAGACUCCUACGGGGAGCAGCAGUGGGGAAUAUUGGGCAAUGGAGGAAACUCUGACCCAGCCAUGCCGCGUGAGUGAAGAAGGUUUUCGAAUUUGUAAAGCUCUUUCGGAUUGUGAAGAUGAUGACGGUAGCAUCUAAAGAAG